Long non-coding RNA from Belonocnema kinseyi, 723 nucleotides. RefSeq lists it as uncharacterized. The transcript is spliced from 2 exons. The record is from RefSeq and is a predicted model, not a curated record. NCBI's taxonomy places the organism in Eukaryota, Metazoa, Arthropoda, Insecta, Hymenoptera, Cynipidae.
AUUACGUUGCCAUUUCGUCACAUUCGCGUCGCAUGUCUGUUGCACGUACGCAGAUAUAGAUUUGCAGUGUUUCAAAAACAUUGACUGUGUUAUAACAAUCAUUUGUUUUUACUUUAAUUUAAACUUUAAGUGUCCAGGAAUACAUAUUUACUGUAAAAAUGUAAAGAUCAUGCUGCGCUCACCAGCUUGAAUGACAUACAAUCGUGGUGGGUCUAAGAAAAUCUACAAAACGGAUCAUUUUUAAAAAGAACAUGAGCGUUCACGAGAUGACCUUCGUUUUGAGGAAUAUUCCUUCCGGUCUAGGCGAUGUGAGGAAGAAUGACCCGUAUGAUCAUGCAACCGAUCUCUUCUCCCGUUUUCCCGAUUGCGGCUCUGAUGGCCGUCUUUGUGUCUGCAAAUGUAAUAUAUAUAUACAUAUCAUAAUAUUAUUUAUUAUUGCAUAUCUCUGCUUUAGAAAAAAGGUCUCGUCGCCACCACAAUGCGGGGAAUAUUAUAUUAUUAGUUAGAAAAACUACGUUAUACAUUGAUUUACAUUAUAUGCAGAAUAUUACCUGUCAUCUGAGUAGCUCCUGCGAUUAUUCUUUUUGUCCAAAUGGUGAGAAGAUCGUUCAUGCCUGUGAACAUAAGUUUAGGAUUAAGAUAGUGCUAACUUUAAAAGAAUGAACUCAACGUAUUGACUGUAAAAACGAGUGAUCAAAAAUACACCAAAAAUUAAUUUUCUAA